This 321-nucleotide ribosomal RNA is filed under the name uncultured eukaryote. Its description in RNAcentral is "partial 18S ribosomal RNA". It matches the Rfam family "Eukaryotic small subunit ribosomal RNA", at positions 1470 to 1796 of the family's 1831-position model. The record is from RNAcentral.
CCCUUAGAUGUCCUGGGCCGCACGCGCGCUACACUGACAUGUUCAACAAGCCUCCUAGUUCGACAGGAUUUGGGAAAUCUUUGAACGCAUGUCGUGAUAGGGAUAGAUCAUUGCAAUUAUUGAUCUUGAACGAGGAAUUCCUAGUAAACGCGAGUCAUCAGCUCGCAUUGAUUACGUCCCUGCCCUUUGUACACACCGCCCGUCGCACCUACCGAUUGAAUGUUUCGGUGAAGAUUCCGGAUAGGACUUUUUUGAUUUAUUUCAAUUUUGUCUUAAAAGCUAUCUAAACCUCAACAUUUAGAGGAAGGUGAAGGCGUAACA